RNAcentral lists this ribosomal RNA (253 nucleotides) under uncultured bacterium. RNAcentral's name for it is "partial 16S ribosomal RNA". It matches the Rfam family "Bacterial small subunit ribosomal RNA", at positions 524 to 776 of the family's 1533-position model. The record is from RNAcentral.
UACGUAGGUGGCAAGCGUUGUCCGGAAUUAUUGGGCGUAAAGGGCGCGUAGGCGGCUCGGCACGUCCGUUGUGAAAUCGCCCGGCUCAACUGGGCGGGGUCGGCGGAUACGGCCGAGCUGGAGCAAGCUAGGGGGUAAUGGAAUUCCCGGUGUAGUGGUGGAAUGCGUAGAUAUCGGGAGGAACACCAGUGGCGAAGGCGGUUACCUGGAGCUUUGCUGACGCUGAUGCGCGAAAGCGUGGGGAGCGAUCCGG